Gopherus evgoodei (Goodes thornscrub tortoise) is the source of this 326-nucleotide long non-coding RNA. RefSeq lists it as uncharacterized. Lineage: Eukaryota; Metazoa; Chordata; Testudines; Testudinidae. The record is from RefSeq and is a predicted model, not a curated record. The transcript is spliced from 2 exons.
GAUAUGAGAAUGUCACAGCUGUCCCUGCUCAGGCCCUGCUACCUACUCACAGCCCGGUGUGGUCGCAGGCAGGGAACCCGGCCAGAACCCAGAGAAAGCACUGCACUCCCCUCUGUGUGGGGUAGGGCAGGGGCAGCUGAGCCACUGGGCCCAGCCCCUCCCUCUUGUGACCAGUGGGCUGUGGAGGGCCAGGCAGAGAAGCCAGGCCAGGGAUGGAUAGGCAGGGGGGUGGGGAGCUGCGCCGCAGAGCAGAUAAGCAGGGCAGUCUCAGGGGUGGAUAGGUGGGUGUGAUGCAGUAGGUACUGUCUGUGUGGGGAGUGGGAGAG